Molecule: unclassified non-coding RNA, 382 nt
Filed under: plant metagenome
Description: partial contains 5.8S ribosomal RNA, internal transcribed spacer 2, and large subunit ribosomal RNA
Source: RNAcentral
GCUCACGUUGUCGGCCACUGUGGACAGAACCGAUUGCUCCGCCGUUUCCUCCAUUGACGCUUCGGUUGCCGUCCGCUGAACUUGCCGUUGUUCGACAAGCUUCGCGCCUAGCGCUACCAUCUGCCGUUCCUUGUGCUCCAUCGCAGCUUUAGCAAGGUUGUUCUCGCUUGCCUGCAACAAGCCCGCGCUCGCGCCGGCCGGGAGCGGAACGGCGGCUCUCGAUCCCAAAAGAAUCCGGCCUUUGAAAACGUCUGUAACCCAAUCCUUUGUUAGACCGGAGAAAAACGGCGUCGGUUGACCGACCAUAAAGGCGGCUUCCUCAACGUCGGCGCUAUUCCGAUAAUGCGCCAAGUUAAUCGACGCCAUGUCAUACAGGGGAGGC